GCACUUUAAACAGCAAACCAUGCUGCCACGUUGCCUCGUUCGACCCAAACAGACACCCUUCUAUCACGUAACGUUGAUCCAAUCGACAAGCGGGUAUGCAAGAUUGUACGAUUCUUUCCACCGAACGAUGCAAUAAAGGGCGGAAAAGAUCAAACGAAAAAGAGGAGGGAAUUUAUUGAAGCAAAUAAGGAAGGAGAAGGCGGCAUCACUCCUGCGUCUGGGGAUUUCCUCGCCUGCGCUAGUGACGGAUUUGCUCGUCUCCGAUCCCACCUUAGCCUCGGUUCUACAACUCGCGUUUCGCGGUGAUCUUCUUCACCUCGACCUGCUGCCCUACUGGUAUUUGUCCAAGGAAACCUGGUUGGAGCACCAAACUUGAUCGCUCAGGUGAUUCUGAUGAUUUGAAAGUACAGCCAGUUAGUUUUCGAGUUCCAAUCAGCAUCAGAACUUGAACAGAGAAGGCUUCCUGACGCCAAGAAUGACAUCGGGAUGAAUGGAAGAAACACAAGUGUCUCCUUGUACAUCAAAAUAAAAGAGAUCUUCGCUGAAGAGCAAUGUUGUCAAGAAGAAACCUCAAGCAACCGAGCAGUUCCCUGAAGGGAAAGCAAGACAAGGUCGAUGUUGUUGAAGUGGAUGACUUGUGGAUAAGCUUGAAAGGUUAACGAUGGUGAAAGAUGUACUUGGUGAGGAGCAGAGAAACUGUGAAAUGACUAGGGGAAGGAGUUGCAAGCAACAAAGGUUAUUGGAACAGGGUGAAAUCUCUUGAUUGAGCAAGCUAAAAGAAGAGGUUUGCUUGAGGAUUACAACAGGAUGAAAACAAGUUAUGAAGAAUUAGAUCUGAUCCAGAUAACAUCUUAGGGAGUGAGCAUCUAUUGGGCAUUUGCUUCAGGUAACGUUGAAGUAUUGAUCAAGACUAAAGGAGAUGAGGGUUUCAGUUUACUUCAGGAAUACACAAGAGUUAACAAUUGUUUGACAUGCAUAGAUUCUGAAGAAGAUAUCUCAACAUUGGUUCCAAGUUCAACACAGAUGAGCUGACUGCUGGGGGUGUUUCUCUUGGAAUCCUGAGGUCGAUCAAAGAUCUCAAUCUAGUUAAGAGUUUGAACCAUGUUCCGCACAUCACUUGUUCAUCCUGUUUCCUUCCCACGAAGAAGCUCAAUAAAUACAUUACAAUGUAUGGAUUUCAACGAUUAUGAUGAUGAAACAAAAGACAUUAACAGCAAAACCAUUCAACACAAGCAUCAUAUUUCUUUUCUAGGUCCAACAGAUGAGGGAUUUGAUGAGGAAGAACUGUGUAUCAGAAAUGCAAGAAAUUAUAUGAUGCAGUUCCAAAUCAUAUGAACAACAUCAAUUAUGGUGUGUCUUGAAUGUGCAUCAGAAAUGCAAGGCAUUGUUAUAGGCACACCCCUCCAAUGACACCUGAAAAAUUCUGGAAAAUUAGGCUCGAUCUG
Molecule: long non-coding RNA, 1445 nt
Organism: Musa acuminata AAA Group (dessert banana)
Lineage: Eukaryota; Viridiplantae; Streptophyta; Magnoliopsida; Zingiberales; Musaceae
Exons: 3
Source: RefSeq, a predicted model, not a curated record